This 909-nucleotide ribosomal RNA is filed under the name Acrocalymma walkeri. RNAcentral's name for it is "LSU rRNA". It matches the Rfam family "Eukaryotic large subunit ribosomal RNA", at positions 35 to 966 of the family's 3401-position model. The record is from RNAcentral. Lineage: Eukaryota; Fungi; Ascomycota; Dothideomycetes; Pleosporales; Acrocalymmaceae.
UAAGCAUAUCAAUAAGCGGAGGAAAAGAAACCAACAGGGAUUGCCCUAGUAACGGCGAGUGAAGCGGCAACAGCUCAAAUUUGAAAUCUGAUCUCUUCGAGGUCCGAGUUGUAAUUUGCAGAGGGUGCUUUGGUGUUGGCUGCGGUCUAAGUUCCUUGGAACAGGACGUCAUAGAGGGUGAGAAUCCCGUCUGUGGUCGCAUGUCUUCACCGUGUAAAGCCCCUUCGACGAGUCGAGUUGUUUGGGAAUGCAGCUCUAAAUGGGAGGUAAAUUUCUUCUAAAGCUAAAUACUGGCCAGAGACCGAUAGCGCACAAGUAGAGUGAUCGAAAGAUGAAAAGCACUUUGGAAAGAGAGUCAAACAGCACGUGAAAUUGUUGAAAGGGAAGCGCUUGCAGCCAGACUUGCUUGCAGUUGCUCAUCCGGGCGCUCGCCCGGUGCACUCUUCUGUAGGCAGGCCAGCAUCAGUUUGGGCGGUUGGAUAAAGGCCUCUGUCACGUAUCUUCUCCGGAAGACCUUAUAGGGGAGGCGUAAUGCAACCAGCCUGGACUGAGGUCCGCGCAUCUGCUAGGAUGCUGGCGUAAUGGCUGUAAGCGGCCCGUCUUGAAACACGGACCAAGGAGUCUAACAUCUAUGCGAGUGUUUGGGUGUCAAGCCCGAGCGCGCAAUGAAAGUGAACGGAGGUGGGAACCCUCGGGUGCACCAUCGACCGAUCCUGAUGUCUUCGGAUGGAUUUGAGUAAGAGCAUAGCUGUUGGGACCCGAAAGAUGGUGAACUAUGCUUGAAUAGGGUGAAGCCAGAGGAAACUCUGGUGGAGGCUCGCAGCGGUUCUGACGUGCAAAUCGAUCGUCAAAUUUGGGCAUAGGGGCGAAAGACUAAUCGAACUAUCUAGUAGCUGGUUCCUGCCGAAU